RNAcentral lists this ribosomal RNA (505 nucleotides) under uncultured bacterium. RNAcentral describes it as "partial 16S ribosomal RNA". The record is from RNAcentral.
GGAGUUAGCCGGUGCUUCUUCUGUGAGUGAUGUCCUUCCUGCCGGUUAUUGACCCGCAGGCCUUCUUCCUCACUGAAAGUGCUUUACAACCCGAAGGCCUUCUUCACACACGCGGCAUGGCUGGAUCAGGGUUGCCCCCAUUGUCCAAUAUUCCCCACUGCUGCCUCCCGUAGGAGUCUGGGCCGUGUCUCAGUCCCAGUGUGGCUGAUCAUCCUCUCAGACCAGCUACGGAUCGUCGCCUUGGUGAGCCGUUACCUCACCAACCAGCUAAUCCGACAUAGGCUCAUCCGAUAGCGCGAGGCCCGAAGGUCCCCCGCUUUCCCCCGUAGGGCGUAUGCGGUAUUAGCCUGGGUUUCCCCAGGUUAUCCCCCACUACCGGGCAGAUUCCUAUGCAUUACUCACCCGUCCGCCGCUCGCCACCAGGGAGCAAGCUCCCCGUGCUGCCGCUCGACUUGCAUGUGUAGCNCGCCGCCACGCGUCAUCUGAGCGAGAUACAACUACUCGA